AUUGUACAGUUUGAUUACAAUUUUAGGAACAUCUAGUGUAUUUUUAUGAAUGAAUACAUUUGAAGUUUUUAUUUUAGUACUUAAAUGUUCAAUUAUGAUAUAAAUGGCGGGAAUUUACUGAUGAGUUUGCCGUGUAUGGUGACUACCCCUAAAUUAUCGUGUCGAUUCGUCCGUCGCCGCAUAAACGCUUUGAACUUUUAGCGGGUGCCAAGUAAUUAGUGCCUGCAUGAGAUGAAAGCGGUUUGGAGACCCAAUCAUACAGCAGUUAAUUUUCAACAAAUUUUCAAAAUAUCUGCUUGUUUUAUAUACUAGUAGACAAGUGAAGUUUAUUCUCGUGCAUGAUGUCCUUUAUGCAGUAGAUCUAUGUGGCGGGCAGUUUGUUGCGUGUUUAUAAUGCUGCAAAAUUAAAUAUAAGAAGAGAUGAUAGACACACUAACCAUAGUGUUUGCAGAAGCGGUUGGUCCAUCUCAGCCGUGGUGGUGGAGUAUUCGUCGCAGAAGCGGUGGAUAAAAUAUGGCCGUUUGCUGUUGUCAAUCUACCUAUCAUUUUUACCAGUCGGGCAUAAGCAUGAAGAUAAGAUACCUCCUUAAACAAGAAACUUCACUCUACGGAUUGUGAGACAAGGCCAGAUCUUAAAGUUAUUGAAGGAUGCACAAAUGAUAGAUGCAAUGGCCAACUAAAAAGAAUGGAUGAACAAAAUUUAUCAUUUGAGGCUUCUCUACUGGACAUUUUGCUUGGGUUAGGGCUUUGGGCCUUAUAUUUAGCGUAUGUAGCGAAGACCUACAAAAAUAAUAGUAAUACAAAAACAAAUCUGCAACAGAAUCACACAAAUGUUGUUAAAACUAUUUAAUAGAGAAAAUAGUUCUUUUUAAGAAAUUGUGUACAUUUUAUACAAAGAAAGAACUAAUGGAAGGACUAAAAAAUGAACAUGCCACAUGCAUAUCUCCCAGGUGUUUUGCUUGGGUUAGGGCUUAAAUUAAUCUUACAUUGCUGUAAAAAAGACCUACCAAACUAUUGCAAUAACAAAUCUGGACUCAGACAAAUAGUGUUUAAAUGAUUGGCUGGAGAAAAUGGUGCUUUUUACAAAAAAUUAUACAUUAUAAACAUGUACAGAGCUCAACAAGUAAACCUGACUUAGCACUACAAAUUUGUAAAAAGUUAUUUGAAUAUUGUUUUCACAAAGGCAGACUUGGGAAAAAGUAAGCGACACCUGCCCUGAUUUAAAGCGGAUUCUCUUUUUGGCAGAUUUUAGAUUGUUGAUAUUUCAAGAAUAGAAAAACGGAAACAAACAGUGAGUUAUUUAUUAUCUGGAAAUGAAGAUGCAGUGGUAUUUUGGAGAAAAACAAUAUCAAAUGAAUUAUAUGUGUUAAUUAAAGAGAAAAAACUGAUUGAUAAGAUCUUGCAAGGUUGUUCAGAAUUUGUUAUACUUCAUCGUGCAAUAAGUUAAAUUUUUGCCAGCAGAACAGAAUCAUUUAUGAUUAUACAUGUAUAUUUUAACAAGUAAAUCAAGAGAAGGAGAGAACACAUGUCAAACAUCUGGAUGGUUUGUAACUGGUACGUUUAUUCAAGGAUUUACCGGUUUCGGUCUUUCAAGACCUUCAUGAGGAUAAUUUCAAUAAUAAAUGAUUAUACUGAAGUACUAAAAAAGAGGGAACAGAAUGUGACAUAUGUUACUAUAACUAGACAUAUAAAAGAGUUUUCUUGGCAAAAUGCCAAGUUAUUGUCCAUAUAAAAUGUUUCAAAUGUUGGUUAACCACAGAUCAUAUCUAUCAUCAAUGACCAAUUUUACGUCAUGGUUAAAGUGUUCAUAUUCACCUAAAAUGAUUGUGUCGCAAAAAUGUAGUUGAGACUAAGCUUCGCAGUCUUAAAAAGGGACUCCACUGAGGUUUAAAAGCCUAAAAACAUAACAUUUGAAUUUCUUACAUAAUUGAGCUGGGACACUUUAAACAGAAAUAUAUGCAAAGAUAGUUAAGAAAUAUACUUUGAAAUAAAUAGAAAAUCGUAUUAUUAUGCUUUCCUUAGCCCGAAUUGAGUGAAAAGGGUUUAAAACGCUUUUCAUUUUGGGUCAUUUUUUACAAUUUGAAUACAUUUGUUUUGUUAUUAUUCUGGAAAAACUAAGUGCGCGAAUGAUCGGAAAUUUUGCACAAAGAUUAGUGGUCUAAACCUACAUCAAAUGGUACAUUUUACUGGAAAAAUUAUUUCCAGUCCAAUCAUGUCAAAAAACCUCAGUGGAGUGACCCUUUAAGUUGAUUGUAGUUACUUAGGAGAAAAUUAGUUGGAUUCUGUAUUAAUUUAACAAACUAAAUUUCUUUUUUUUUUGUGAGUAAAUAUAUAGAUGCUAGUUGUUAGUUGAGACUUCCUUCUGAAGUUGUUUCCUUUAUGUAAUAUUGUAACAAAUUUUAUCUUAAAAUCUAGUAUGGUAUUUUAGCUGCUGGUUCUUGCAGAAAAGAAUCACUUAUGGUUAUAUCCUAUGUUUAAAUUGUUGUUAUCAAACUUAUGUUCCGCCAGCAGAACAAUUUCAAAUUGAUUUUAUUAAAUGAUAUUCUUUCUGAAUUAUAUUUUUGAUUAAACCUAAAAAGGUUAAGAAUUUUCUUGUAAUAAUAAAUGUUCCGCCGGCAGAACAGAAUCACUUAUGGUUAUAUCCUAUGUUAAAAUUGAUGUUAUCAUACUUAUGUUCCGCCAGCAGAACAAUUUUAAAAUUAAUUUUAUUAAAUGAUAUUCUUUCUGAGUUAUAUUUUUGAUUAAACCUAAAAAGGUUGUUAAGAAUUUUCUUGUAAUAAUAAAUGUUCCGCCGGCAGAACAGAAUCACUUAUGGUUAUAUCCUAUGUUUAAAUUGAUGUUAUCAAACUUAUGUUCCGCCGGCAGAACAAUUUCAAAUCAAUUUUAUUAAAUGAUAUUCUUUCUGAGUUAUAUUUUUGAUUAAACCUAAAAGGUUGUUAAGAUUUUUCUUGUAAUAAAUAAAUGUUCCGCCGGCAGAACAGAAUCACUUAUGGUUAUAUCCUAUGUUAAAAUUGAUGUUAUCAUACUAAUGUUCCGCCGGCAGAACAAUUUCAAAUCAAUUUUAUUAAAUGAUAUUCUUUCUGAGUUAUAUUUUUGAUUAAACCUAAAAGGUUGUUAAGAUUUUUCUUGUAAUAAAUAAAUGUUCCGCCGGCAGAACAGAAUCACUUAUGGUUAUAUCCUAUGUUAAAAUUGAUGUUAUCAUACUAAUGUUCCGCCGGCAGAACAAUUUCAAAUCAAUUUUAUUAAAUGAUAUUCUUUCUGAGUUAUAUUUUUGAUUAAACCUAAAAGGUUGUUAAGAUUUUUCUUGUAAUAAAUAAAUGUUCCGCCGGCAGAACAGAAUCACUUAUGGUUAUAUCCUAUGUUAAAAUUGAUGUUAUCAUACUAAUGUUCCGCUGGCAGAACAAUUUCAAAUCAAUUUUAUUAAAUGAUAUUCUUUCUGAGUUAUAUUUUUGAUUAAACCUAAAAGGUUGUUAAGAUUUUUCUUGUAAUAAAUAAAAUAAAUGUUCCGCCGGCAGAACAGAAUCACUUAUGGUUAUAUACUAUGUUAAAAUUGAUGUUAUCAUACUAAUGUUCCGCCGGCAGAACAAUUUCAAAUCUAUUUUAUUAAAUGAUUUUCUUUCUGAGUUAUAUUUUUGAUUAAACCUAAAAGGUUGUUAAGAUUUUUCUUGUAAUAAAUAAAUGUUCCGCCGGCAGAACAGAAUCACUUAUGGUUAUGUCCUAUGUUAAAAUUGAUGUUAUACUAAUGUUCCGCCGGCAGAACAAUUUCAAAUCAAUUUUAUUAAAUGAUAUUUUUUCUGAGUUAUAUUUUUGAUUAAACCUAAAAGGUUGUUAAGAUUUUUCUUGUAAUAAAUAAAUGUUCCGCCGGCAGAACAGAAUACUUUAUGGUUAUAUCCUAUGUUAAAAUUGAUGUUAUCAUACUUUUGUUCCGCCGGCAGAACAAUUUCAAAUCAAUUUUAUUAAAUGAUAUCCUUUCUGAAUUAUAUUUUUGAUUAAACCUAAAAAGGUUAAGAUUUUUUUUUUGUAAUAAAUAAAUGUUCCGCCGGCAGAACAGAAUACUUUAUGGUUAUAUCCUAUGUUAAAAUUGAUGUUAUCAUACUUAUGUUCCGCCGGCAGAACAAUUUCAAAUCAAUUUUAUUAAAUGAUAUUCUUUCUGAGUUAUAUUUUUUAUUAAACCUUUAAAGGUUGUUAAGAAUUUUGAUAUGUUGUUAUAAGUAAAUGUUCCGGCGGCGGAACAGGAUUUUUUAUGGUUCUAUCUUAUUUUUGCAUUCAUAUGGACUGGAAUCAUAUUUUUGUUCUGCUGGCGGAACAAUUCCAAUGAGUUCUUUUAUUUGAUUUUUACUUUAAGAAAUGCAUUUGUUACAAAAUCUUGCAAAGGUUGUUUAGAAUUGUGGUAUGUUGUAAUUAAUAAAUGUUCCGCCGGUAGAACAGAAUCACUUAUGUGUAUAACCUAGUACGUUUUAAUACAUGUUUUCAUACUUAUGUUCCGCUGGCGGAACAAUUUAAGACUGAACUAUUUUGUAAAAUAGCUUAAUUUAUUUUUUAUUUAAUGUUCCGCCGGCAGAACAUUUUAGCAUUUUUGGAUUCUUGCUAUCUCGCAGAAAGAACUGCUAAAUGUUCUGCUGGCGGAACAAAUCAUGAUUUAUUUGUGAUAAUAUGCUGUAUUUUUAUAACAAAAUGAAAUAAAUUUUGUGUUAAAUAUA
Long non-coding RNA from Ruditapes philippinarum (Manila clam), 4700 nucleotides. RefSeq lists it as uncharacterized. The transcript has 3 exons. The record is from RefSeq and is a predicted model, not a curated record. NCBI's taxonomy places the organism in Eukaryota, Metazoa, Mollusca, Bivalvia, Venerida, Veneridae.